RNAcentral lists this ribosomal RNA (459 nucleotides) under uncultured bacterium. RNAcentral describes it as "partial 16S ribosomal RNA". It matches the Rfam family "Bacterial small subunit ribosomal RNA", at positions 338 to 795 of the family's 1533-position model. The record is from RNAcentral.
CCUACGGGGGGCAGCAGUGGGGAAUAUUGCACAAUGGGGGAAACCCUGAUGCAGCGACGCCGCGUGAGUGAAGAAGCGUUUCGGCGCGUAAACCUCUUUAGGCGGGGAGCAAUGCCGGGCACGCGUGCCCGGAGGGAGAGUACCCGCAGAAUAAGCAUCGGCUAACUCCGUGCCAGCAGCCGCGGUAAUACGGAGGAUGCGAGCGUUAUCCGGAUUUAUUGGGUUUAAAGGGUGCGUAGGCGGAUUUUUACGUCAGCGGUAAAAUGUCCGGGCUCAACCCGGGCCGGCCGUUGAAACUGGGGAUCUUGAGUGGGCGAGAAGUAUGCGGAAUGCGUGGUGUAGCGGUGAAAUGCAUAGAUAUCACGCAGAACUCCGAUUGCGAAGGCAGCAUACCGGCGCCCGACUGACGCUGAGGCACGAAAGCGUGGGGAUCGAACAGGAUUAGAUACCCUAGUAGUC